AGCAAGCACCGGCUAACUCCGUGCCAGCAGCCGCGGUAAUACGGAGGGUGCAAGCGUUACUCGGAAUCACUGGGCGUAAAGCGCGCGCAGGCGGCUAUUUAAGUUGGAUGUGAAAGCCUACGGCUCAACCGUAGAACUGCAUCCAAAACUAUUUAGCUAGAGUGUGGGAGAGGAAGAUGGAAUUAGUUGUGUAGGGGUAAAAUCCGUAGAGAUAACUAGGAAUACCAAAAGCGAAGGCAAUCUUCUGGAACACUACUGACGCUGAGGCGCGAAAGCGUGGGGAGCAAACAGGAUUAGAUACCCUGGUAGUCCACGCAGUAAACGAUGAAUGUUAGUCGUCGGGUAGCUAGUCUAUUCGGUGAUGCAGCUAACGCAUUAAACAUUCCGCCUGGGGAGUACGGUCGCAAGAUUAAAACUCAAAGGAAUAGACGGGGACCCGCACAAGUGGUGGAGCAUGUGGUUUAAUUCGAAGAUACGCGAAGAACCUUACCUAGCCUUGACAUAUUUUAGAACACACCAGAGAUGGAGUGGUGCCUUCGGGAGCUAAUUUACAGGUGCUGCACGGCUGUCGUCAGCUCGUGUCGUGAGAUGUUGGGUUAAGUCCCGCAACGAGCGCAACCCUCGUCACUAGUUACUAACGGUUCGGCCGAGGACUCUAGUGAGACUGCCUUCGUAAGGAGGAGGAAGGUGAGGACGACGUCAAGUCAUCAUGGCCCUUACGGCUAGGGCAACACACGUGCUACAAUGGCCCAGGACAGUGAGACGCAAUACCGCGAGGUGGAGCAAAUCUAUAAGCCUGGUCUCAGUUCGGAUUGUUCUCUGCAACUCGAGAACAUGAAGCUGGAAUCACUAGUAAUCGUAGAUCAGCUAUGCUACGUGAUACGUUUCCCGGGUCUUGUACUCCACGCCCGUCACACCAUGGGAGUGAUUUCACCCGAAGCGGGAAGCUAACUGGCUACCCCUCCACGUGGAAUUAGCGACUGGGGGUG
RNAcentral lists this ribosomal RNA (989 nucleotides) under uncultured bacterium. Its description in RNAcentral is "bacterial SSU rRNA". It matches the Rfam family "Bacterial small subunit ribosomal RNA", at positions 485 to 1482 of the family's 1533-position model. The record is from RNAcentral.